AUACUUACCUGGCAGGGGAGAUACCAUGGAUCAAGAAGGUGUUCACCCAGGCGAGGCUUAACCUGCACUCCGGUUAUGUGACCCUGCGAAUUCCCCAAAUGUGGGAAUCUCGACUGCAUAAUUUGUGGUAGUGGGGGACGGUUCGUCCGCUCUGCCCCGA
Small nuclear RNA from Etheostoma spectabile (orangethroat darter), 160 nucleotides. RefSeq annotates it as U1 spliceosomal RNA. The transcript has a single exon. Lineage: Eukaryota; Metazoa; Chordata; Actinopteri; Perciformes; Percidae. The record is from RefSeq and is a predicted model, not a curated record.